AACGCCGCGUGAGCGAUGAAGGCCUUCGGGUCGUAAAGCUCUGUUGUUAAGGAAGAACAAGUACGAGAGUAACUGCUCGUACCUUGACGGUACUUAACGAGAAAGCCACGGCUAACUACGUGCCAGCAGCCGCGGUAAUACGUAGGUGGCGAGCGUUAUCCGGAAUUAUUGGGCGUAAAGCGCGCGCAGGCGGUUUCUUAAGUCUGAUGUGAAAGCCCACGGCUCAACCGUGGAGGGUCAUUGGAAACUGGGGAACUUGAGUGCAGAAGAGGAAAGCGGAAUUCCACGUGUAGCGGUGAAAUGCGUAGAGAUGUGGAGGAACACCAGUGGCGAAGGCGGCUUUCUGGUCUGUAACUGGCGCUGAGGCGCGAAAGCGUGGGGAGCAAACAGGAUUAGAUACCCUGGUAGUCCACGCCGUAAACGAUGAGUGCUAAGUGUUAGAGGGUUUCCGCCCUUUAGUGCUGAAGUUAACGCAUUAAGCACUCCGCCUGGGGAGUACGGUCGCAAGACUG
RNAcentral lists this ribosomal RNA (512 nucleotides) under uncultured Bacillota bacterium. RNAcentral describes it as "bacterial SSU rRNA". It matches the Rfam family "Bacterial small subunit ribosomal RNA", at positions 393 to 896 of the family's 1533-position model. Lineage: Bacteria; Bacillati; Bacillota. The record is from RNAcentral.